This 645-nucleotide ribosomal RNA is filed under the name Schizophyllum commune. RNAcentral describes it as "eukaryotic LSU rRNA". It matches the Rfam family "Eukaryotic large subunit ribosomal RNA", at positions 38 to 667 of the family's 3401-position model. The record is from RNAcentral. Lineage: Eukaryota; Fungi; Basidiomycota; Agaricomycetes; Agaricales; Schizophyllaceae.
GCAUAUCAAUAAGCGGAGGAAAAGAAACUAACAAGGAUUCCCCUAGUAACUGCGAGUGAAGCGGGAAAAGCUCAAAUUUAAAAUCUGGCGGUCUCCGGCCGUCCGAGUUGUAAUUUAGAGAAGCGUUAUCCGUGCUGGACCGUGUAUAAGUCUCCUGGAAUGGAGCGUCAUAGAGGGUGAGAAUCCCGUCUUUGACACGGACUACCAGUGCAUUGUGAUGCGCUCUCGACGAGUCGAGUUGUUUGGGAAUGCAGCUCAAAAUGGGUGGUAAAUGCCAUCUAAAGCUAAAUAUUGGCGAGAGACCGAUAGCGAACAAGUACCGUGAGGGAAAGAUGAAAAGAACUUUGGAAAGAGAGUUAAACAGUACGUGAAAUUGUCGAAAGGGAAACGGUUGCAGUCAGUCGCGUCCGCCGGGGAUCAACCUUGCUUUUGCUUGGCGUAUUUCCCGGUGGAUGGGUCAGCAUCAGUUUUGACCGCAGUUGAAAGGCUGGAGGAAUGUGGCACCUUCGGGUGUGUUAUAGCCUCCUGUCAUAUGCUGCGGUUGGGACUGAGGAACUCAGCACGCCGCAAGGCCGGGAUUCGUCCACGUUCRUGCUUAGGAUGCUGGCAUAAUGUCUGUAACCGACCCGUCUUGAAACACGGACC